This 1268-nucleotide ribosomal RNA is filed under the name Palaemon tenuidactylus. RNAcentral's name for it is "16S ribosomal RNA". The stretch from base 804 to 1200 matches the Rfam family "Bacterial large subunit ribosomal RNA", at positions 2049 to 2651 of the family's 2925-position model. Lineage: Eukaryota; Metazoa; Arthropoda; Malacostraca; Decapoda; Palaemonidae. The record is from RNAcentral.
AGAAGUGUUAUUUAUUUAAUAAAAAAUUAUUAAAUCUUGUCUAAAAGUAUUAAAAAGAAAUUUAAGAAAAAAUUAUAGUUUAUAAGUACUGAAAAGGAAAGUUAUAUUUAAAGAAUAGCAGGGUUUGAUUUCUGUACCUUUUGUAUCAGGUGUAAACAAAAUUAACAUUAAAGUUAGAGGUAUCUCGAAACGAGAAGAGCUAGUAGAAUUAAUAUUUCUUUGUUUCAAAAAGGUUUGGAAAUUCAUACUAGUAAUGAUAUGUUAGUCGAUUUUUGUAUAUCUAGUUUUCUAUUAAAAAAAUUUAAUUUUGCUUUUUUUUAAAAUUAAAUUAAAGAGAUAAAGUAGGAGGUAAGAGCUUCUUGCUUUUUUCAAGAAUGGUUGCAAUGUAGUUGUUAAGUGGGCUUAAAAUCAGUCAUCUUAUUAUAACGUUAAAGUAAAACUAUCUUAAAUUUUAAUUUUUAUCUUUCUGUCAUUUUUAAUUGAAAAUAUCAUUAAAUGUGAUCUUGUUAGUUAAUAUGUUUAUAUAAGUAUAAUUAAAGUUGAAGAAAAAAUUAAAUUUUAAUUAAUUUUUAAGGUAUUUUGGUUGUUUAAAAGGAAUUCGGCAAAUAAUAUCUUCACCUGUUUAUCAAAAACAUGUCUAUAUGAGUAUAAAAUAUAAAGUCUAGCCUGCCCACUGAGUAUUUAAAGGGCUGCGGUAAUUUGACCGUGCAAAGGUAGCAUAAUCAGUAGUCUUUUAAUUGAAGGCUUGAAUGAACGGUUGGAUGAGAGAGAAGCUGUCUCUUUUAUAAGUUAAAAUUUGACUUUUAAGUGAAAAGGCUUAAAUUGUAUAAAGGGACGAUAAGACCCUAUAAAACUUUAUAAGAGAUUUAUUUUAUUUUUAAAUUCUUCUUUAAAAAUUGUGAAGUACCUCUCUUAUUUUGUUGGGGCGACAUUGAUAUAAGCUGUAACUGUUUAAAUAAAAAUUAUAAUUAUCAUUAUUGUUUGAUCCUUCUUUGUGGAUAAAAAGACUAAGUUACUUUAGGGAUAACAGCGUAAUUUUUUUUGAGAGUUCUUAUCGAAGAAAAUAGUUGCGACCUCGAUGUUGAAUUAAAAUUUCAGGCAAGUGUAGCCGCUUGUUAUGUGGGUCUGUUCGACCUUUAAAAUUUUACAUGAUUUGAGUUCAAACCGGUGUAAGCCAGGUUGGUUUCUAUCUUUUGUGAAGUUGUCAGAAGCUUUAGUACGAGAGGAUUGAGUUUCUAAGAGUUUCUUAUAUUAGGAUUAAAUAUAAU